This 1775-nucleotide ribosomal RNA is filed under the name Listeria monocytogenes. RNAcentral describes it as "partial 23S ribosomal RNA". It matches the Rfam family "Bacterial large subunit ribosomal RNA", at positions 1156 to 2925 of the family's 2925-position model. Lineage: Bacteria; Bacillati; Bacillota; Bacilli; Caryophanales; Listeriaceae. The record is from RNAcentral.
ACCCCGCGCCGAAAAUGUACCGGGGCUAAACAUAUUACCGAAACUGUGGAUGAACCUCUUUAGAGGUUCGUGGUAGGAGAGCGUUCUAAGGGCGGUGAAGUCAGACCGGAAGGACUGGUGGAGCGCUUAGAAGUGAGAAUGCCGGUAUGAGUAGCGAAAGAAGGGUGAGAAUCCCUUCCACCGAAUAUCUAAGGUUUCCUGAGGAAGGCUCGUCCGCUCAGGGUUAGUCGGGACCUAAGCCGAGGCCGAUAGGCGUAGGCGAUGGACAACAGGUAGAGAUUCCUGUACCAGUGCUAAUUGUUUAACCGAUGGGGUGACACAGAAGGAUAGGGAAUCGCACGAAUGGAAAUGUGCGUCCAAGCAGUGAGUGUGAGAAGUAGGCAAAUCCGCUUCUCGCGAAGCAUGAGCUGUGAUGGGGAAGGAAAUUAAGUACGGAAGUUCCUGAUUUCACGCUGUCAAGAAAAGCCUCUAGGAAGAGUAGUACUGCCCGUACCGCAAACCGACACAGGUAGAUGAGGAGAGAAUCCUAAGGUGAGCGAGAGAACUCUCGUUAAGGAACUCGGCAAAAUGACCCCGUAACUUCGGGAGAAGGGGUGCUCUAUUAGGGUGCAAGCCCGAGAGAGCCGCAGUGAAUAGGCCCAGGCGACUGUUUAGCAAAAACACAGGUCUCUGCAAAACCGUAAGGUGACGUAUAGGGGCUGACGCCUGCCCGGUGCUGGAAGGUUAAGAGGAGUGCUUAGCUUCGGCGAAGGUACGAAUUGAAGCCCCAGUAAACGGCGGCCGUAACUAUAACGGUCCUAAGGUAGCGAAAUUCCUUGUCGGGUAAGUUCCGACCCGCACGAAAGGCGCAACGAUCUGGGCACUGUCUCAACGAGAGACUCGGUGAAAUUAUAGUACCUGUGAAGAUGCAGGUUACCCGCGACAGGACGGAAAGACCCCGUGGAGCUUUACUGCAACCUGAUAUGGAAUGUUUGUACCGCUUGUACAGGAUAGGUAGGAGCCGAAGAGACGUGUGCGCUAGCAUACGAGGAGGCAAUGGUGGGAUACUACCCUGGCUGUAUGACCAUUCUAACCCGCCACGCUUAGCGCGUGGGGAGACAGUGUCAGGUGGGCAGUUUGACUGGGGCGGUCGCCUCCUAAAGAGUAACGGAGGCGCCCAAAGGUUCCCUCAGAAUGGAUGGAAAUCAUUCGCAGAGUGUAAAGGCACAAGGGAGCUUGACUGCGAGACUGACAAGUCGAGCAGGGACGAAAGUCGGGCUUAGUGAUCCGGUGGUUCCGCAUGGAAGGGCCAUCGCUCAACGGAUAAAAGCUACCCCGGGGAUAACAGGCUUAUCUCCCCCAAGAGUCCACAUCGACGGGGAGGUUUGGCACCUCGAUGUCGGCUCGUCGCAUCCUGGGGCUGUAGUCGGUCCCAAGGGUUGGGCUGUUCGCCCAUUAAAGCGGCACGCGAGCUGGGUUCAGAACGUCGUGAGACAGUUCGGUCCCUAUCCGUCGCGGGCGCAGGAAAUUUGAGAGGAGCUGUCCUUAGUACGAGAGGACCGGGAUGGACACACCGCUGGUGUACCAGUUGUUCCGCCAGGAGCAUCGCUGGGUAGCUAUGUGUGGCAGGGAUAAACGCUGAAAGCAUCUAAGCGUGAAGCCCCCCUCAAGAUGAGAUUUCCCAUUUCUUCGGAAAGUAAGAUCCCUGAAAGAUGAUCAGGUAGAUAGGUUUGGAGUGGAAGUGUAGCGAUACAUGGAGCGGACAAAUACUAAUCGAUCGAGGACUUAACCAAAAA